GAUGAACGCUGGCGGCGUGCCUAAUACAUGCAAGUCGAGCGAACAGACGAGGAGCUUGCUCCUCUGACGUUAGCGGCGGACGGGUGAGUAACACGUGGAUAACCUACCUAUAAGACUGGGAUAACUUCGGGAAACCGGAGCUAAUACCGGAUAAUAUAUUGAACCGCAUGGUUCAAUAGUGAAAGACGGUUUUGCUGUCACUUAUAGAUGGAUCCGCGCCGCAUUAGCUAGUUGGUAAGGUAACGGCUUACCAAGGCAACGAUGCGUAGCCGACCUGAGAGGGUGAGCGGCCACACUGGAACUGAGACACGGUCCAGACUCCUACGGGAGGCAGCAGUAGGGAAUCUUCCGCAAUGGGCGGAAGCCUGACGGAGCAACGCCGCGUGGGUGAUGAAGGUCUUCGGAUCGUAAAACUCUGUUAUUAGGGAAGAACAAAUGUGUAAGUAACUAUGCACGUCUUGACGGUACCUAAUCAGAAAGCCACGGCUAACUACGUG
Molecule: ribosomal RNA, 497 nt
Filed under: uncultured bacterium
Lineage: Bacteria
Description: partial 16S ribosomal RNA
Rfam family: Bacterial small subunit ribosomal RNA
Source: RNAcentral